CCCAAUCAGACCUGAGCUGGAGUUUGCCUGAAGGCAGCUUGUCAAGCUUGAGACUUCGCUCAGUCAGCUAGGCUAGUAAGUUGACCGAGCGCCGGGAAUCAUGGGAGGUUGAUGACAUCAUACAAAAUGGCUGCCCCCAUGAAUAAAACAUGAUAGGCAGUUCAGCUCGGUGAUUUUCGGCUAAAACUUGGAUUUGGAGGUCAGUAGCCCAAAUCAAAAUAUUUGGGCCCCUAACCAGCAUGUUUUUUGUCAUUUUUGGUCGCCAAAAUCGGUUUUUAGUUGCAAAUGGCGACCUGGCGACCGUCUAAAUCGAGCGCUGACAUUUGAGCAGAUAUGUGCUGUAGUUAAUCCAGUGGAGCUUAUCAUGGGCCUAUGGCAGUCUUAAGAGCAUUGUUUGGAUACGUAAUGGCCUCACCGGUUGUGUCGGAGCCAGUGCACUGUUUCUACAGCAUGCUUCUUGCGCUAGUAUGAUUCCCUGUGGAUAGCACGCCAGAAGAUAAGGGGAAAGAGAAAAUAGUUUCAUCAACUUUUGAUAAGUCUAUUCUCAAAGACAGACCCUAUUGACAACACUGAUAUACUGAUAAUAAAUCUGUAUCUGUUGCCGAUCUGAAUGCACACUGACUUUUGCAAAGCCACUGAAUCACAGCAGUAUAAAACCUAAUAUUGAUUUCUUUUUUCUUUUACCUUCAGUUUUAUUGUUGAUUGAACAGGAGUCAUGCCGGUACAAAGACCACAGCAGCGCAGUCACUCUGCUGGUAGAUAGCAAUAUAGACAAACAAGCUGGAGAAAAAUACAAAGCAAAGGACGAGGACAUCAAAUUGUAUUGAAGAACAAAGAAAAUAAACGUUGUAGAUACACACAGAUCGAGAGAUUGUUAGAUAUGGGUGGUAGAUUUGAACAGCCAAUGAGAAGUCAACAGAAAGGCCUUGAGAAACACUAUACAGUGAAAAAGAGUAGACUAGGAGAAAAGGAGGAAAGCAUUAAGACAUCGCAAGAGAGCACGAUGAAUGAAGAAAUAGUUUUGUUUGAAGUGAAAGCAGAGAUUAAAUGUUCGCAAGUAAAAGCUGAAAGUUGGUGUAAGUGGAAAACCAUUUGAACAGACUUUUUCUUGUGUGUGGUAUGAUUAGAAAAAAUGAAUAGAAGUCCAGAAAAAUGCUGAAGUGAACCUUGUGAUAAGGACCGAGAGGCGCAACACACAAAGGAAGUAAAUGACAGGCAUGUGAAGGAAACUGAAAAUAUGAGUAGUCAUCUGAAAAGAAGAAAACAUGGUGGCAAACUCUGAGCACCUGGCAAAAAAAGAGGAGAAAAUGUUUUUUUUUAAAAAGCAGGAGGUAGAUCGUUAAAGAACAGAGGUGGAGGGAGACAAUGGAGAAGGAGAGCUGACGAGACAGAAAGAGUUGGACGAAUGAGGAGGAAAAAGAAGGACGGACGGACGGACGGACGGACGGACGGACGGAGGAGACAUUAGGCGGGAAGGGAGAAGAAUAGGUAAAUGUUGGGGAGGUAAAAAGAGUUGGGAGGGAUACAAUGAGGGGGUAAGUGUUUAUGGAAGAUACGGUUGAGAUGGACAGAGGAUGAAGAGACGCAAAGAGAGAGAGUUAAAGAGAGACAGUGGGGCCCUCAGCAGUCAACACUAAUGAAGAAGAAUGAGGAGCUUAAGCUGCUUGCUGGCCCUGCUGACACACACACACACACACACACACACACACACACACACACACACACACACAUACACAUACACAUACACAUACACAUACACACACACAUACACACACACACACACACACACACACACACACACACACACACACACACAUCGUAAAAGCCUCUCAGGCGUUUUCACUUAAGUAUGUACUGCUCAAGUUUUGACACAAAAUUCAUGAAGCGAACAAGUAGUCGAACUCCAUUCACCUCAGUGCUAUGCAUGAAUAAAUAUUACAAAGUGUCUUGUAGCUUUUUUUUUAACUAGCUCUAAUUAACAACAAGAGUUUCCCUUAGUUUCCAGAUUUGUUCAGAGAUAAACCAUCUCAGGUUGAAAACUCAGCUAUAAGAGUUUCAAACCAGGGUUGCAAAUUAGCGCAUGUUGCUAUAAUUGGGGCUAAAGUCACUGUAGUAUUUUUAUUUUCUUUACAAAUUCAGAACUUUUCUACAAAGUUGAUGUACCAUAAAGCAGAUAGUACUUUUUAUCCGCUAACUUUAUUUGUGACUUUAUCCAUUGUGACUUCCUGCCCACUAGAGAAAACCACAAUGACGCUUGCAUAUAAAACAUGUUCAAUCUAACAUUUUGUAGUUCUCAUUGGUUUUUGCAAUGGGGUUGAGUUGAUUUAUUUUUUAAAAGGUGACAUUCAUUUGGAGCAUAUUUUUGUCAGAUUCUUGUUUCUCUUAUGCGCUCAGUUAAAGGUCUGUUUGUGCCUCAUUAGCUGUGACUGCCUGCAGACAAGUGAAAAAGAAAGUCUUAAGGAAUCCUUGAACUUUUUUCCACCCUAGCUGCAGUUUUGAACAAAAGUUGAUAACAACUCGCCAGAACUGUGGUGCAAUGCGUAGUGCACAGAUGAAAGCCUGCUGACCGAAAGUUUGAUAUUCCAUGUGUUAAUAUUUCUGAAUAUCUAUCUUGCCAGUGUAAGUGUUUAGUUUACAGUUGUUAAUAUGUAGAAAUUCCUGGAAUUUUUCUGUAAUUCCAGACAGAAGAAAAGACAAUAGACAUCUGUGGUGGUCACAUAUUGACAUACAUUUAUAUGCUGCCUAUAUGUAGCCCCAUGUGGAGAACAAUGUUUAUAAAGCACCUCUGACUCAGAGACUAAGACUAGAGCUCUAAAAAAAUCUUAUCAAGUGUCAAUAUCAUUUUUUUAAUAAAUAUUCUGUCCAUCGGAAAUAUGACUGAGCAGCCUUGGUGGAGAACUGCGCUCUCUGAGUGCCUUUCUUAUUACAUUAUUUUGCACAGUUGUUAAACGUAGUGGCUGGGACCAGUCAGUCAGCGCAGUCUUAGAACAUGAACACAGCGUGUUGUAAGAACCCUGAAUGUCAAAAUAUCGAAAGAUAGCAUAUCAGUUUACUGCACAUCAUCCAAGGAGGAUUCCACUUGGCUUUUCCACAGUGGCGAAGGUGGUUAAAAAGUUUAAAGAAACUGUCAGUGUCAUGGACAAACCCCUUUCUGGAUGACCAAAUGUGUCAGCCAAAAAUAAAGAACUGGUCAAAAAUCACUUCCCUAACCCUAACCUAUCUUUCGAUAUGUCCACUGAGAAGUACCAGUUCACCUCUUUCUUCUUUUGACAAAGCCAUAUUUCAUCUGCGGAGGAAAUAAAAUUAUAGUUAAUGAGAUUUCCUAUGUGUCCAGACUUUAGGGACAUCCUGUUUAAUCACAUCUGACUGCAAUGCUCAGCAGGUUGGGACACGCUUCACUCCACUGAGCUGUAAUGAUUGCAUGUUAGAUCAUUCUGACCCAGUAUGAGGAACAUAACCAGUGAUUUCACCAACUGAUCAACAGUUAAAUUCAUCGACAGAAAUCAUCAAGACAGAAAUAUAAUGGCAACGUGAUGGAAAAUGUAGGAAGAGUGAUGCAUCUCUAGCUUCUCUUUUCCUGUCUACAACAAUUCUGUUCUGCUCAAAAGGCAGGGAAAGCGGGUGUCUUGAUGCAUGCCAUAUAGUGGCAAUGUGUCGCCCUUUUUACCCACCGAUCAAUUACUGUGACAUUUGUGAUCAUAAAAAUGAAUAUACACUACCGUUCAAAAGUUGGGGUAAUUUCGAAAUGUCCUGAUUUUUGAAAGGAAAGCAUUUUUUUCAAUGAUGAUAACAUUAAAUGAAUCAGAAAUGCCGUCUAGACGUUGUUAAUGUGAUAAAUGACUAUUCUAGCUGGAAGCGACUGAUUUUUAAUGGAAUAUCUACAUAGAGGUACAGAGGAACAUUUCCAGCAACCAUCACUCCUGUGUUCUAAUGCUACAUUGUGUUAACUAAUUCAUUGAUAGACUAAUUGACGAUUAGAAAACCCUUGUGCAAUUAUGUUCGCACAUGAAUGAAAGUGUGAGUUUUCAUUGAAAACAUGAAAUUGCCUGCAUGACCCUAAACCUUUGAACAGUAGUGUAAGUUGUUCAUCUCUGCAUUGCUUUUCUUACACUGAACUGACCAUUGGACUGUUUUUGCAGUGUUUUGAGGCUCACAACUUUAUGCCAAAACUUACCAGGACCUUUAGUUAUUUCUGUUAUUUUCUUCCUGUUGCAAUGCUUUUCCCUUCAUCUCUGUAUUCACGAUGUCAUUAACUGUUAGGACAAGCCCGAAAGUUUUGCUUGUACACAGAGAAGACCGUCCAAGAUACACAAAUCAAAUCAAAACUAUUAGCCAAGUAUGUUCGGGCGAAGCCAGACUCCACAGCGAGGUAGCCAGCUGGUGACCUUAAACAACUGACUGUGUAGAGAUUUAGUCACAGUGACUGAUUUUCAACAUGGAACCAUGCUGACUUUUAGUUUGGGGCAGCUGCUGUGGAAGGUCUGGACUGUUCAGAAUGGUAAUAUUUUACUUUCCAAUCAAGUCAGAGCUGUCAUGAUUUCUUUCAAGCAUGGUUGAUUUUUACAAGCUGAGUUUGUACAAGUGUAGACCCAAAAUAUAAUGAAGGCUUCUGGUGAGAGUUUUUUCCACAAGAAGAAAGGAAGAAGAAAAAAAACUAAAUCACAACUACAAAAUGACCAGCAGUGGAAAGCAAAGUGCUCAAUAUUUCAUUGGUUUUGUUACUAUGAUAUGCAAAUUUGACUGAGGUGUUGUAUUUUCAGCAAAAUAAGUUCUUGGUGAUAGUUGUAUUCAUUCUGUCGUCAUUGUUGUGUGCUUUAUUUGUGGCACCUUUUAACACAAAAUCAUAUAAACGUAUCAAAUAUGAAUCACUUUAAGUUGUAUUUUCUGUUUGUGCCUCAUUGCAAUUUGGGUGUGUGUGUGUGUGUGUGUGUGUGUGUGUGUGUGUGUUCUUGUACUUGCUACAUUGUGAGAACCAUUUUCUGCAUUUAACUAUCAAAGUGAGGACAUUUUUACAAAGUGAGGACAUUUUGGCCGGUCCUCACUUUGAAACAGCCAUGUUUGAGGGUGAAGACUUGUUUUUAGAGAACAGGUAUGAAUUGAGGUUUGGUUAGGGUUAGGGUAAGGAUUAGGGUUAGGCGAUCAGUUGUGAUGGUUAAGGUUAGGGUAAGGCUCUAGGAAAUGCAUUACGCCUAUGGAUGUCCUCACUAAGAUAGAAGUACAAACAUGUGUGUGUGUGUGUGUUGGAUCCACUUAGAAAGUUUCAUACUGGAGACAGGAAAAACUGCUGAACUAAUUACCAGGUCCGGAGGGCUAGAAGUAACAUCCGUAUCAAACAAACAAAACAUGCUUAGAUGUUUUCUCUGUAACAUCUAAGCAUUGUUUAGCAUCAAAGCCUGUCAAACUGCCCAUGAUAAAGGGGAUAGAGAAUGUCUGUGAAGCACCUCAUGUGUAUUGGUACCUGAACCUACAUUCACAAAUACAACCUAGUACACACAAACACACGCAGCGCACUUGCCCAAAUAUAUUUGCAUCAGUGCCCAUGGUUUUUCGAAAAGUUUUUUGUCAGUUGGUUUAUCUGAAUGUUCGUCAGUUUGUUUUUGCUUUAGUCUCUUUUUUAUCUAUCUUUAAAGAAUUUUCCUUCAUCUGUCAAUUUUGUUUCUCUGCUUCUGCUUCCUUUAAACUACCACCUUUCAUCUAGCUCCUUCAUCUGUCUGCAAGUCUUUUUUUUCUUUCUCUUUGUCUGCCCCGCUCUCUUUGUCUCUCUUGUUCUAUUCCAUCUUGUCUCCUGUUUGUCUUUUUCUAAACCCCUCUCUUCUUUUUUUCAUGCUCUUCCUUCAUUUUUCUCUCCCCGCUCCACAGUUGACUUAUUGAUUUCAUUUUCAUACUGUUGGCAGUUGUUCCCUCCGUCAUAAACCAUCAGCGUUGCCUCCUUUCAAGCCGGCAUUGAUCAUUGUACAGCCGAUCACAACCAAUCUCCACCGAGCAUCAUUAUCUGCUCUUGCUUUUUCUCUUUUGUUGUUCGUCUGUCUUGUGUUGUGUGCUCUGUGGGUUAUAUUUUGUAAUCUAGCUAUUCAGUACUCUGGUGAAAUGACAGCCCUCUACAUUUAGGGGUUUAGGUAGUGAAUUAUGCUUCUCUGUUUUUUUUUUUUGUUUUUUUUACCCCAUGUAGAUUCUUAAGUAUUGUGAAAAAUAAAUCGGUUGGAAAGCUGAGGGCUUUAAAAGGACACUGCAUUGCAUGACUUUGAUUAGAAAUCAGAGCCUUGCUUAUCUUGUUGAAAAGAAAUUAAACUUUUACUGCCCAUGUCAUGGGGCUGCACAGUGACGUAGUGGUUAGCACUUUCGCCUUGCAGCAAGAAGAUCUCCAGUUCGAAUCCCGGCCUGGGAUCUUUCUGCAUGGAGUUUGCAUCUUCUCACUGUGCAUGCGUGGGUUUUCUCCGGGCACUCCGGCUUCCUCCCACAGUCCAAAAAUAUGCUGAGGUUAAUUGGUUACUCUAAAUUGUCUGUAGGUGUGAGUGUGAGUGUGAUUGUUUGUCUGUAUAUGUAGCCCUGUGACAGACUGGCGACCUGUUCAGGGUGUCCCCUGCCUCCGAGUCAGCUGGGAUAGGCUCCAGCACCCCCCGCGACCCUCGUGAGGAUAAAGCGGUGUAUAGAGAAUGGAUGGAUGGAUGGAUGCCCAUGUCAUGUUGGCGAGCUGACUUUACGAGGCUCAAAACCUCUGUUGUUGUUUUUUUUCCACUGAUUUGGUUAUUUAUUUGCACAAUCCAAAAUAAACAAAAUGAAGAAAAAUA
Acanthochromis polyacanthus (spiny chromis) is the source of this 6788-nucleotide long non-coding RNA. RefSeq lists it as uncharacterized. The record is from RefSeq and is a predicted model, not a curated record. NCBI's taxonomy places the organism in Eukaryota, Metazoa, Chordata, Actinopteri, Pomacentridae. The transcript is spliced from 2 exons.